CAAUAGCGUAUAUUUAAGUUGUUGCAGUUAAAAAGCUCGUAGUUGGAUUUCGGGUUGGCUUCAGCGGUCUCGCUUUGCGUUUGUACUGCUGCAGCCUACCUUCUUGUCGGGGACGGGCCUUCGGGCUUAAUUGCUUGGGGCCCGGAGUCGACGAUGUUACUUUUAGUAAAUUAGAGUGUUCAAAGCAAGCCUACGCUCUGAAUAUAAUAGCAUGGGAUAACACGACAGGACUCUGGCCUAUCGUGUUGGUCUGUAGGACCAGAGUAAUGAUUAAGAGGGACAGUCGGGGGCAUUCGUAUUCCGUUGUCAGAGGUGAAAUUCUUGGAUUUACGGAAGACGAACAUCUGCGAAAGCAUUUGCCAAGGAUGUUUUCAUUGA
Molecule: ribosomal RNA, 378 nt
Filed under: uncultured eukaryote
Lineage: Eukaryota
Description: partial 18S ribosomal RNA
Rfam family: Eukaryotic small subunit ribosomal RNA
Source: RNAcentral